AUAUUGCACAAUGGGGGAAACCCUGAUGCAGCGACGCCGCGUGGAGGAAGAAGGUCUUCGGAUUGUAAACUCCUGUUGUUGGGGAAGAUAAUGACGGUACCCAACAAGGAAGUGACGGCUAACUACGUGCCAGCAGCCGCGGUAAAACGUAGGUCACAAGCGUUGUCCGGAAUUACUGGGUGUAAAGGGAGCGCAGGCGGGAAGACAAGUUGGAAGUGAAAUCUAUGGGCUCAACCCAUAAACUGCUUUCAAAACUGUUUUUCUUGAGUAGUGCAGAGGUAGGCGGAAUUCCCGGUGUAGCGGUGGAAUGCGUAGAUAUCGGGAGGAACACCAGUGGCGAAGGCGGCCUACUGGGCACCAACUGACGCUGAGGCUCGAAAGUGUGGGUAGCAAACAGGAUUAGAUACCCUGGUAGUCCACACCGUAAACGAUGAUUACUAGGUGUUGGAGGAUUGACCCCUUCAGUGCCGCAGUUAACACAAUAAGUAAUCCACCUGGGGAGUACGACCGCAAGGUUGAAACUCAAAGGAAUUGACGGGGGCCCGCACAAGCAGUGGAGUAUGUGGUUUAAUUCGACGCAACGCGAAGAACCUUACCAAGUCUUGACAUCCCUUGACAGGCAUAGAAAUAUGUUUUCUCUUCGGAGCAAGGAGACAGGUGGUGCAUGGUUGUCGUCAGCUCGUGUCGUGAGAUGUUGGGUUAAGUCCCGCAACGAGCGCAACCCUUAUGGUCAGUUACUACGCAAGAGGACUCUGGCCAGACUGCCGUUGACAAAACGGAGGAAGGUGGGGAUGACGUCAAAUCAUCAUGCCCUUUAUGACUUGGGCUACACACGUACUACAAUGGCGUUAAACAAAGAGAAGCAAGACCGCGAGGUGGAGCAAAACUCAGAAACAACGUCCCAGUUCGGACUGCAGGCUGCAACUCGCCUGCACGAAGUCGGAAUUGCUAGUAAUCGUGGAUCAGCAUGCCACGGUGAAUACGUUCCCGGGCCUUGUACACACCGCCCGUCACAC
RNAcentral lists this ribosomal RNA (1016 nucleotides) under human gut metagenome. RNAcentral's name for it is "bacterial SSU rRNA". It matches the Rfam family "Bacterial small subunit ribosomal RNA", at positions 361 to 1402 of the family's 1533-position model. The record is from RNAcentral.